AUGCCGGUGGAGGCAGCCUUGAGCAGUGACAUCACAAGAAAAACCACCAACCAGGGCCAAGGAGACCAGAGCCCAGCACCUCACCCAAAGGACCCCAGUCAGAGGCCCCAUCUCAGACCCGAGGCUAGCGUGGGCUGCAGGCUGCUCUGCUGUGCGGUUCUCUGUCUCCUGGGAGCAGUUCCCAUAGACACUGAAGUUACCCAGACACCAAAACACCUGGUAAUGGGAAUGACAAAUAAGAAGUCUUUGAAAUGUGAACAACAUAUGGGGCACAGGGCUAUGUAUUGGUACAAGCAGAAAGCUAAGAAGCCACCGGAGCUCAUGUUUGUCUACAGCUAUGAGAAACUCUCUGUAAAUGAAAGUGUGCCAAGUCGCUUCUCACCUGAAUGCCCCAACAACUCUCUCUUAAACCUUCACCUACACGCCCUGCAGCCAGAAGACUCGGCCCUGUAUCUCUGCGCCAGCAGCCAAGACACAGCCUUGCAGAGUCACCGCUUUCCUGUGCAGAAACCUUCGGGGCCUGCCAGGAAGCCGCGGGGGCCACGGAGGGCUCAGGUGAACAUUUCCUCCAAGAGCCCCGGCAGAAGCUUCAGAACAUCAUAG
Molecule: non-coding RNA, 603 nt
Organism: Gorilla gorilla gorilla (western lowland gorilla)
Lineage: Eukaryota; Metazoa; Chordata; Mammalia; Primates; Hominidae
Source: the annotation of a RefSeq genome assembly